AUUGAACGCUGGCGGCAUGCCUUACACAUGCAAGUCGAACGGCAGCACGGACUUCGGUCUGGUGGCGAGUGGCGAACGGGUGAGUAAUGUAUCGGAACGUACCUUUCAGUGGGGAAUAACGUAGCGAAAGUUACGCUAAUACCGCAUAUUCUGUGAGCAGGAAAGCAGGGGAUCGAAAGACCUUGCGCUGAUUGAGCGGCCGAUAUCAGAUUAGCUAGUUGGUGGGGUAAAGGCCUACCAAGGCGACGAUCUGUAGCGGGUCUGAGAGGAUGAUCCGCCACACUGGAACUGAGACACGGUCCAGACUCCUACGGGAGGCAGCAGUGGGGAAUUUUGGACAAUGGGGGCAACCCUGAUCCAGCCAUGCCGCGUGAGUGAAGAAGGCCUUCGGGUUGUAAAGCUCUUUCGGCCGGGAAGAAAUCGCAUAGGCUAAUACCCUGUGUGGAUGGCGGUACCGGAAUAAGAAGCACCGGCUAACUACGUG
RNAcentral lists this ribosomal RNA (484 nucleotides) under uncultured bacterium. Its description in RNAcentral is "partial 16S ribosomal RNA". It matches the Rfam family "Bacterial small subunit ribosomal RNA", at positions 30 to 507 of the family's 1533-position model. The record is from RNAcentral.